UACAGAGGGUGCGAGCGUUAUCCGGAAUGAUUGGGCGUAAAGCGUCCGCAGGUGGCUGUGUAAGUCUGCUGUUAAAGAGUCUAGCUCAACUAGAUAAAAGCAGUGGAAACUACACGGCUAGAGUACGUUCGGGGCAGAGGGAAUUCCUGGUGUAGCGGUGAAAUGCGUAGAGAUCAGGAAGAACACCGGUGGCGAAGGCGCUCUGCUAGGCCGUAACUGACACUGAGGGACGAAAGCUAGGGGAGCGAAUGGG
RNAcentral lists this ribosomal RNA (253 nucleotides) under uncultured bacterium. Its description in RNAcentral is "partial 16S ribosomal RNA". It matches the Rfam family "Bacterial small subunit ribosomal RNA", at positions 524 to 776 of the family's 1533-position model. The record is from RNAcentral.